This 820-nucleotide ribosomal RNA is filed under the name uncultured bacterium. RNAcentral describes it as "bacterial SSU rRNA". It matches the Rfam family "Bacterial small subunit ribosomal RNA", at positions 43 to 853 of the family's 1533-position model. The record is from RNAcentral.
CGGGCUUAACACAUGCAAGUCGAGGGGAAACGAUGUUGGAAGCUUGCUUCCGAUAGGCGUCGACCGGCGCACGGGUGAGUAACGCGUAUCCAACCUGCCCAUCACUUGGGGAUAACCUUGCGAAAGUAAGACUAAUACCCAAUGAUAUCUCUAGAAGACAUCUGAAAGGGAUUAAAGAUUCAUCGGUGAUGGAUGGGGAUGCGUCUGAUUAGCUUGUUGGCGGGGUAACGGCCCACCAAGGCAACGAUCAGUAGGGGUUCUGAGAGGAAGGUCCCCCACAUUGGAACUGAGACACGGUCCAAACUCCUACGGGAGGCAGCAGUGAGGAAUAUUGGUCAAUGGACGAGAGUCUGAACCAGCCAAGUAGCGUGCAGGAUGACGGCCCUAUGGGUUGUAAACUGCUUUUAUAAGGGAAUAAAGUGGGUCUCGUGAGACUUUUUGCAUGUACCUUAUGAAUAAGGACCGGCUAAUUCCGUGCCAGCAGCCGCGGUAAUACGGAAGGUCCGGGCGUUAUCCGGAUUUAUUGGGUUUAAAGGGAGCGUAGGCCGGAGAUUAAGCGUGUUGUGAAAUGUAGAUGCUCAACAUCUGCACUGCAGCGCGAACUGGUUUCCUUGAGUACGCACAAAGUGGGCGGAAUUCGUGGUGUAGCGGUGAAAUGCUUAGAUAUCACGAAGAACUCCGAUUGCGAAGGCAGCUCACUGGAGCGCAACUGACGCUGAAGCUCGAAAGUGCGGGUAUCGAACAGGAUUAGAUACCCUGGUAGUCCGCACGGUAAACGAUGGAUGCCCGCUGUUGGUCUGAAUAGGUCAGCGGCCAAGUG